This 253-nucleotide ribosomal RNA is filed under the name uncultured bacterium. RNAcentral describes it as "partial 16S ribosomal RNA". It matches the Rfam family "Bacterial small subunit ribosomal RNA", at positions 524 to 776 of the family's 1533-position model. The record is from RNAcentral.
UACGUAGGGUGCAAGCGUUGUCCGGAAUUAUUGGGCGUAAAGAGCUCGUAGGCGGUCUGUCGCGUCGGCUGUGAAAACCCGAGGCUCAACCUCGGGCCUGCAGUCGAUACGGGCAAACUAGAGUACUGCAGGGGAGACUGGAAUUCCUGGUGUAGCGGUGAAAUGCGCAGAUAUCAGGAGGAACACCGAUGGCGAAGGCAGGUCUCUGGGCAUUAACUGACGCUGAGGAGCGAAAGCAUGGGGAGCGAACAGG